Cavia porcellus (domestic guinea pig) is the source of this 73-nucleotide transfer RNA. It matches the Rfam family "tRNA". Rfam says of the family: Transfer RNA (tRNA) molecules are approximately 80 nucleotides in length. Their secondary structure includes four short double-helical elements and three loops (D, anti-codon, and T loops). Lineage: Eukaryota; Metazoa; Chordata; Mammalia; Rodentia; Caviidae. The record is from Rfam.
GCCCAGCUAGCUCAGUUGAUAGAGCAUGAGACUCUUAAUCUCAGGGUUGUGGGUUCAUGCCCCACAUUGGGCA